AUAUUUUAGGAUAAAUUUGAUAAAAUUCAAACAUUACAGAGAAGAUUAAUACGAUCUCUGCUCCAGGAUGACACAAAAUUGACAAAUGGUCAAUUUUUUU
Molecule: non-coding RNA, 100 nt
Organism: Picea glauca (white spruce)
Lineage: Eukaryota; Viridiplantae; Streptophyta; Pinopsida; Pinales; Pinaceae
Source: Rfam